GGUGUAGGCGGCUUGUUAAGUCGGAUGUGAAAUCUCCCGGCUAAACUGGGAGGGGUCAUUCGAUACUGGCAGGCUGGAGUGCAGCAGAGGAAAGCGGAAUUCCCGGUGUAGUGGUGAAAUGCGUAGAUAUCGGGAGGAGCACUAGUGGCGAAGGCGGCUUUCUGGGCUGUUACUGACGCUGAGGUCCGAAGGCGUGGGGAGCAAACAGGAUCAGAUACCCUGGUAGUCCACGCAGUAAACUAUGGACACUAGGUAUGGGGAGUAUCGACCCUCUCCGUGCCGAAGCUAACGCUUUAAGUGUCCCGCCUGGGGAGUACGGUCGCAAGACUAAA
RNAcentral lists this ribosomal RNA (332 nucleotides) under uncultured bacterium. Its description in RNAcentral is "bacterial SSU rRNA". It matches the Rfam family "Bacterial small subunit ribosomal RNA", at positions 568 to 898 of the family's 1533-position model. The record is from RNAcentral.